Non-coding RNA from Pelobates cultripes (western spadefoot toad), 140 nucleotides. NCBI's taxonomy places the organism in Eukaryota, Metazoa, Chordata, Amphibia, Anura, Pelobatidae. The record is from the annotation of a GenBank genome assembly.
AUGUAUUAAACUAAUGAGUGAGAAAAAUAAGUUGGGGUAAUGCCUUACUUCUCUAUUAUAACCAGUUUUUGUUAGGGUAUAGGUUACCACUUGGAGGAUCCACCUAUUUUGUGGGGCCUCUAGGUGCUGUAAUCUGCCCU